This is a non-coding RNA of Capsicum annuum, 79 nucleotides long. NCBI's taxonomy places the organism in Eukaryota, Viridiplantae, Streptophyta, Magnoliopsida, Solanales, Solanaceae. The record is from Rfam.
GGGAGCCGAAUGAAAUCAAAGUUUCAUGUUCGGUUUUGAAUUAGAGACGUUAAAAAAACGAAUCGACGUCGACUAUAAC